CUUCUCGCGUGGAUGACUAGGCAUGUUUUUGCAGUCAAUCGACUGCAAUCCGGUUUUGUUAUUCCGCUGUCUUACUUGCUUGACGCAUGGCUUUACAUACCCAUACCACUUGGAAUUGCAGGUAGUAGGCAAGGGUGUUCAUCCCCAUGAGCAUAGAUAAACUCUGGGAUUGGCGGUGAACGAACGUUGCCAACAACGCUGCAGCUUCAAGUAAGCAGGGGAUAUCGCUUACUGCCA
RNAcentral lists this small RNA (237 nucleotides) under Vibrio cholerae O1 biovar El Tor str. N16961. Lineage: Bacteria; Pseudomonadati; Pseudomonadota; Gammaproteobacteria; Vibrionales; Vibrionaceae. The record is from RNAcentral.